UGGGGAAUAUUGCACAAUGGGCGCAAGCCUGAUGCAGCCAUGCCGCGUGUAUGAAGAAGGCCUUCGGGUUGUAAAGUACUUUCAGCGGGGAGGAAGGCGUUAAGGUUAAUAACCUUGGCAAUUGACGUUACCGACAGAAGAAGCACCGGCUAACUCCGUGCCAGCAGCCGCGGUAAUACGGAGGGUGCAAGCGUUAAUCGGAAUUACUGGGCGUAAAGCGCACGCAGGCGGUUGAUUGAGUCAGAUGUGAAAUCCCCGGGCUUAACCCGGGAAUUGCAUCUGAUACUGGUCAGCUAGAGUCUUGUAGAGGGGGGUAGAAUUCCAUGUGUAGCGGUGAAAUGCGUAGAGAUGUGGAGGAAUACCGGUGGCGAAGGCGGCCCCCUGGACAAAGACUGACGCUCAGGUGCGAAAGCGUGGGGAGCAAACAGG
RNAcentral lists this ribosomal RNA (429 nucleotides) under Chloroflexota bacterium. Its description in RNAcentral is "Chloroflexi bacterium partial 16S ribosomal RNA". It matches the Rfam family "Bacterial small subunit ribosomal RNA", at positions 355 to 776 of the family's 1533-position model. The record is from RNAcentral. Lineage: Bacteria; Bacillati; Chloroflexota.